UAACAGCAAAGCAGUGCCAGACACCAGAUGGAGAACCGUAAGGACAAAGGGUAAUAAAAGGGUAAACUGUUCAUGAAAAUAUUAUUAAACUUAUAUAUGAUGUCUUUUGAUCACAGGACGAUCAAAUUAUGCAUCACAUGGUAGUACAAUUCCUCGUCAGAAAAUGGUAAAAGAAAAAGGGUUCUAUUGCUUAUGGCGAAUUCACAUCGGGCCAUCCCGGCAUCCAGUACUGGAAAACAACGAGUACGCACUCCAUGGCAUUGGAUUCACAUCGGUCGGUCGGACGAUAUCUUGAUAUAUGUACGCGUUUGCAUUCGCAUGUAUAUAUAGGAGUUAACCGCUGGGGAAGAUUUACUGCUCCCAUGUCUCGAACUUGCCGGAGACGAAGUCGUAAUGGCCGCCGACGAGCUUGAGGGUUCCGUUGGACACACCCUCCUUGACGAACGGGUAGGUCAGGAGGUUCUGCAGGGACACGUUCACUGCCUCCUGAGGAAACAAUUCAGAAAUAUCUCUUGGUCAGCGUACCAAUCAGUUAGACAAACCACAUGCAGAAUUGUGGAGUCUGCAGUAUUGCUAAUAGGAGUACUGUAUGAGCAAAGUAGUAUGAGAUGGCAGAUGGGCAAUGUUGCGAACCUUUUCGAGGACGGUGCACUGGUCAUCGAAAGGCAUGGAGGCGCACUCAGUCUGCACCUUCUUCUUGGCCGGGAAGCCGAUCCUGACCCAGUCCUCGACGAAGUGGCUGACAAGACCAAUCAAAUAGACAGUCAGAAACUGAUCGGAGAGACGGUAGUAGCGCUAGUUGGAGUAAGAUGUGAGCCGUUAUACUCUAGUGGUACUUACAAGGAGUCGUCUGCGCCAUCCUUGAGUGAGAGCAGAGCCUUGAUUCCACCGCAGCGGCUGUGGCCAAUCACCACGAUGACCUCAACCUGCAGCCAAAAGUCCAUAUCAGGCCAUGCUCUAAAAUACUGUCAGUGCCCAUGUUCACUUGUUCUUAUACUAGUAGUUGGGUGACAGCAAAGUCCACUAGUGCAAUAAUGCAUUAUAGCACUCCUAUUUUAGAAGCGACAGCACCAGAGAAAGAAGAGAGAGGGAG
Molecule: long non-coding RNA, 1093 nt
Filed under: Triticum aestivum (bread wheat)
Lineage: Eukaryota; Viridiplantae; Streptophyta; Magnoliopsida; Poales; Poaceae
Description: long non-coding RNA (TAES_LNC000268)
Source: RNAcentral